GGACCGAAAAGACAUAGCCAAUGCUCUUCCAAGCUAUCCCCACCAACUUAUGACCCAAACUUAAUAAUAAAAUAGUUCAACCCUUAGGCUAAGAAAAAGGCA
This 102-nucleotide ribosomal RNA is filed under the name Gastrotheca litonedis (Azuay marsupial frog). RNAcentral's name for it is "partial 16S ribosomal RNA". The record is from RNAcentral. Lineage: Eukaryota; Metazoa; Chordata; Amphibia; Anura; Hemiphractidae.